UCCAUCAUCCACAUUCUCAAUCCAUUCCUUGCUGCUGCUGCUGUUAUUGUUGUCUCUUGUAGACUCCACGAAUCUGUCACUUUCUGGAGUUAAACUGAAGUGUCGAAGUCCCUGAGCUUUCCUGCUCUCGACGACCGUGCUUGAUCGUUGAUCGUUCUCUAAGAGCUUCGACCAGAUAUCAGACUCACCCUUGACGAAAACUUGGUGUGAAUUUGCCUCAUUGUGACACCGCUGUGAAGAAGUAGAAGAAUUUGAAGUAGUAGCAGAAGAAGAAGAAGAAGCAGACGCAAAGAUGGGCUGCGGAGGUGAGGAAGGUGAUGGCGGAGCCUCGAAGUUCAACUGGUCUUGGGUCGGAAAGAAAACUUAAGCAAAGUUUCGCAGCUUCGAAUCUCAUCUGUGAAGACUAUCGCCGCCGAAGGCAUGAUUCUGUACAUAGUGUGAUACCUGGGGAAUGAGCAUACUUCGGUGUAAAGACGAAUCGGAAGAAGUAGAGAAAAGGAAAGAAAAAAGAGAAAAACACACGGUUCAUGAAUUCACUAGAAGAUCUCCAGCUCAUUCGAGCAAGAAUCAUGAAUCGAGGUCUUCAUUCCUUUCGUUUUUUUAAGGCUCGGCGAUAAAUGGAUGUCGGCGAACUGUAAAACUGCCAGUUUUGAACUUCGAAACAUCGUUUUUGUGAAGUCGGACACCCUCGAACGGCGUGGCUUUUGCCGACUAGGCCAUCGAGGUUAGGCGCCUAGUUUUUGUACAUUUUGUAGAUACAAAGAUUAUUUUGAUCUCUUACGAUUACUUGUUGAUUAUUACUCGAGAAUGUUAGCCAUCCCUAUUACCAUCUUGGUGGGAGAAAGUGAGCAUCAUUCGGAUUACCUCGUAAAUCUUCUCAUGUUUGCUGUGUCCUGGCUGUGUUGGUGAUGCAAUGACCGUAAAUUUCAAAUUGUCUG
RNAcentral lists this long non-coding RNA (938 nucleotides) under Physcomitrium patens. Its description in RNAcentral is "long non-coding RNA (PPAT_LNC013833)". The record is from RNAcentral. Lineage: Eukaryota; Viridiplantae; Streptophyta; Bryopsida; Funariales; Funariaceae.